GGACCUAUAUUUUCAUGCAUUUGAUUUUUUUGUUUGUUUGUUUUCUGGUAUUCAGCAAGUGGUGGGGAAAGCCUGCAAGCUCAGCCUGUUUUCAGUUUCAAGCAAGAAGGCUCCAACCAAAUGUGCAACAAGGAUGCAGAAAGAACAGACAAAUCUCCUCUGCAAGGUCAGCUGGCUGGACAAGACUAUAAGGACAUCAUCAGUAACGUUUCAGACAGGUCACAGAAAUGUGCAGAAUGUGAAAGUUGCAGAAGAGAAAAUCAACAGUCUGAAUCAGGAAGCUGGAGCAAUGAAGAUGAUGUUAUGCCCCACAGGAUUCCUGUUCUACCUAGAAGUAAUCAUGCAAAAACUUCUCUUGUUUCUUCAACAGUAUAGCCCAGCAUCUCCAUACAUGUACACUGAGAACAACACUAGUCUCUUGUACACAAACUAAGGAUUUGCUCUUUCAGUCUAAAAGACCAGAGCACUCAAGACACAAUUUUUACUACUGAUGCACAGAUAGGCCAUCCAAACUUUUGUAACUCUCAAAGGAGACACAAGGUCUCUCCUCUCUCCCUGACUGUUCCCAUACAACUUCCCAAAAUAAGUAAAUAAACACUUAAAAAUGCAGAACA
Molecule: long non-coding RNA, 614 nt
Filed under: Junco hyemalis (dark-eyed junco)
Lineage: Eukaryota; Metazoa; Chordata; Aves; Passeriformes; Passerellidae
Description: lncRNA (ENSJHYG00000018063.1)
Source: RNAcentral